CCUACGGGUGGCAGCAGUGGGGAAUAUUGCACAAUGGGCGCAAGCCUGAUGCAGCCAUGCCGCGUGUGUGAAGAAGGCCUUCGGGUUGUAAAGCACUUUCAGCGGGGAGGAAGGCGUUAAGGUUAAUCACCUUGUCGCUUGACGGUACCCGCAGAAGAAGCACCGGCUAACUACGUGCCAGCAGCCGCGGUAAUACGGAGGGUGCAAGCGUUAAUCGGAAUUACUGGGCGUAAAGCGCACGCAGGCGGUCUGUCAAGUCGGAUGUGAAAUCCCCGGGCUCAACCUGGGAACUGCAUUCGAAACUGGCAGGCUAGAGUCUUGUAGAGGGGGGUAGAAUUCCAGGUGUAGCGGUGAAAUGCGUAGAGAUCUGGAGGAAUACCGGUGGCGAAGGCGGCCCCCUGGACAAAGACUGACGCUCAGGUGCGAAAGCGUGGGGAGCAAACAGGAUUAGAUACCCUAGUAGUC
RNAcentral lists this ribosomal RNA (465 nucleotides) under uncultured Klebsiella sp. RNAcentral describes it as "bacterial SSU rRNA". It matches the Rfam family "Bacterial small subunit ribosomal RNA", at positions 338 to 795 of the family's 1533-position model. The record is from RNAcentral. Lineage: Bacteria; Pseudomonadati; Pseudomonadota; Gammaproteobacteria; Enterobacterales; Enterobacteriaceae.